Molecule: ribosomal RNA, 252 nt
Filed under: uncultured bacterium
Lineage: Bacteria
Description: partial 16S ribosomal RNA
Rfam family: Bacterial small subunit ribosomal RNA
Source: RNAcentral
UACGUAGGUCCCGAGCGUUGUCCGGAUUUAUUGGGCGUAAAGCGAGCGCAGGUGGUUUAUUAAGUCUGGUGUAAAAGGCAGUGGCUCAACCAUUGUAUGCAUUGGAAACUGGUAGACUUGAGUGCAGGAGAGGAGAGUGGAAUUCCAUGUGUAGCGGUGAAAUGCGUAGAUAUAUGGAGGAACACCGGUGGCGAAAGCGGCUCUCUGGCCUGUAACUGACACUGAGGCUCGAAAGCGUGGGCAGCAAACAGG